GACGAACGCUGGCGGCGUGCUUAACACAUGCAAGUCGAACGGAAAGGCCCUGCUUUUGUGGGGUGCUCGAGUGGCGAACGGGUGAGUAACACGUGAGUAACCUGCCCUUGACUAUGGGAUAACUUCGGGAAACCGGAGCUAAUACCGGAUAAUAUAUUGAACCGCAUGGUUCAAUAGUGAAAGACGGUUUUGCUGUCACUUAUAGAUGGAUCCGCGCCGCAUUAGCUAGUUGGUAAGGUAACGGCUUACCAAGGCAACGAUGCGUAGCCGACCUGAGAGGGUGAUCGGCCACACUGGAACUGAGCCACGGUCCAGACUCCUACGGGAGGCAGCAGUAGGGAAUCUUCCGCAAUGGGCGAAAGCCUGACGGAGCAACGCCGCGUGAGUGAUGAAGGUCUUCGGAUCGUAAAACUCUGUUAUUAGGGAAGAACAAAUGUGUAAGUAACUAUGCACGUCUUGACGGUACCUAAUCAGAAAGCCACGGCUAACUACGUG
This 495-nucleotide ribosomal RNA is filed under the name uncultured bacterium. RNAcentral's name for it is "partial 16S ribosomal RNA". It matches the Rfam family "Bacterial small subunit ribosomal RNA", at positions 28 to 507 of the family's 1533-position model. The record is from RNAcentral.